This 224-nucleotide long non-coding RNA is filed under the name Phaseolus vulgaris (common bean). Its description in RNAcentral is "long non-coding RNA (PVUL_LNC005048)". The record is from RNAcentral. Lineage: Eukaryota; Viridiplantae; Streptophyta; Magnoliopsida; Fabales; Fabaceae.
UUGAUUAUAGUAAAAUUGACUAAGUUUUUAUUUAUUAAUUACUAUUAAUUAUUAACUUUUGAUUCGUGUCUGUUAAUUUAAUAUUUGCAAAUAAUGUUGUUGCAGUGAGUUUAUGAUGAUCUUUGCUUUGCUCUGUUAUGCAUCUGUAUUGUUAAGUUCAGGUAAUGGUAGCCAUGGUUUGUGAAGGUUCUUUAUUUUAUAAGAUCUUUUAGGUUAUAUCUGGG